RNAcentral lists this unclassified non-coding RNA (379 nucleotides) under uncultured Myxococcales bacterium. Its description in RNAcentral is "contains 16S-23S intergenic spacer region". Lineage: Bacteria; Pseudomonadati; Myxococcota; Myxococcia; Myxococcales. The record is from RNAcentral.
UCCGAUUUGAAUAUCGGCAGUCUCGCUAGAGUGCCCGGCCGAACCGCUGGCAACUAACGACAAGGGUUGCGCUCGUUGCGGGACUUAACCCAACAUCUCACGACACGGGCUGACGACAGCCAUGCAGCACCUAACUACAGGUUCUCCGAAGAGCACCCCGAUCUUUCAACCAGGUUCCUGCAUUUUCUAGCCCAGGUAAGGUUCUUCGCGUUGCAUCGAAUUAAUCCACAUGCUCCGCCGCUUGUGCGGGCCCCCGUCAAUUUCUUUGAGUUUUAGCCUUGCGGCCGUACUCCCCAGGCGGAAUGCUUAAAGCGUUAGCUGCGCCACUGAGCAGCAAGCUGCCCAACGGCUGGCAUUCAUCGUUUACGGCGUGGACUAC